Molecule: long non-coding RNA, 539 nt
Filed under: Mus spicilegus (steppe mouse)
Lineage: Eukaryota; Metazoa; Chordata; Mammalia; Rodentia; Muridae
Description: lncRNA (ENSMSIG00000028822.1)
Source: RNAcentral
AUCCUGGACAGGGAUCAUGUCUCAGGACCUGUGGGUCAGCUGACGGCCUCAGUGAAUAUACCUGUGUACUGGUGACACAAAUAGUCAGCACCCUGAGGGAGAGGCAGGAUCUGUCACCACUAAUUGGCUUCCUCCUGCCCAUCCUUGCUUUAUUGGGGCAUGGCUGAUUAAGCACAGAUUGGAGGACUGGAAUCUCACAGGGACCCAGGCUUCCUUGAUGCCCACAUGUCCUGAAGGGCCACCUCUGACCCUCCUACCCAGCCAUGAUCACCCAGCUUGCUGAGCAGCUCUGCCUCCUGGGUACCUUGUCACCCUGACACCCUACUGAUGCCUGCCUCCAUAGAAGCCACCUGCUUCCUGUGGGUAACAUUUCCUUGCUGUGUCUGUGGGAAAGUUUCCGACUGUGACCCAGGACCUGCUUCUGUUUGUCAUUUUGCCAACCACAGGACUCCUCCACAGCAGCCAUGGAAGACAGGCUGAAGGUAAGAGUCAUUCAUCUUUUAGAGUGGGGAGUUCUGAUGUGGCAGGGUGGGGAGGGC